Molecule: ribosomal RNA, 505 nt
Filed under: uncultured bacterium
Lineage: Bacteria
Description: partial 16S ribosomal RNA
Rfam family: Bacterial small subunit ribosomal RNA
Source: RNAcentral
GACGAACGCUGGCGGCGUGCCUAAUACAUGCAAGUAGAACGCACAGUUUAUACCGUAGCUUGCUACACCAUACACUGUGAGUUGCGAACGGGUGAGUAACGCGUAGGUAACCUGCCUGGUAGCGGGGGAUAACUAUUGUAAACGAUAGCUAAUACCGCAUCAUAUUGAUUAUUGCAUGAUAAUUGAUUGAAAGAUGCUAUUGCAUCACUACCAGAUGGACCUGCGUUGUAUUAGCUAGUAGGUGAGGUAACGGCUCACCUAGGCGACGAUACAUAGCCGACCUGAGAGGGUGGUCGGCCACAAUGGGACUGAGACACGGCCCAGACUCCUACGGGAGGCAGCAGUAGGGAAUCUUCGGAAAUGGACGAAAGGCUGACCGAGCAACGCCGCGGGAGUGAAGAAGGGUUUCGGAUCGUAAAGCUCUGUUGUAAGAGAAGAACGGGUGUGAGAGUGGAAAGUUCACACUGUGACGGUAUCUGAACAGAAAGGGACGGCUAACUACGUG